AGGUAAGCUACUAAGAGCGAAUGGUGGAUGCCUUGACUGGUAGAGGCGAUGAAGGACGUACUAGACUGCGAUAAGCUAGGUGGAGCUGUCAAGAAGCUUUGAUGCCUAGAUUUCCGAAUGGGGCAACCCAGUAUAUAGAGAUAUAUACUACCAUAAUGGAGCGAACGAGGGGAAUUGAAACAUCUUAGUACCCUCAGGAAAAGAAAUCAAACGAGAUUGCGUCAGUAGCGGCGAGCGAAAGCGUAAGAGGGCAAACCCAGUGCUUGCACUGGGGGUUGUAGGACUGCAAUGUGCAAGAGGAAAGGUUAGCAGAACACUCUGGAAAGUGUAGCCAUAGAGGGUGAUAGUCCCGUAUGCAAAAACCUAACCUUAGCUAGCAGUAUCCUGAGUAGGGCGGGACACGAGAAAUCCUGUCUGAAGCUGGGUAGACCACUAUCCAACCCUAAAUACUCCUACCAGAUCGAUAGCGAACAAGUACCGUGAGGGAAAGGUGAAAAGAACGGCGGUGAGCCGAGUGAAAUAGAACCUGAAACCAUUUGCUUACAAUCAUUCAGAGCACUAUGUAGCAAUACAGUGUGAUGGACUGCCUUUUGCAUAAUGAGCCUGCGAGUUGUGGUGUCUGGCAAGGUUAAGCUAACGCGAAGCCGUAGCGAAAGCGAGUCUGAAUAGGGCGCUAAGUCAGAUGCUGCAGACCCGAAACGAAGUGAUCUAUCCAUGAGCAGGUUGAAGCUAGUGUAAGAACUAGUGGAGGACCGAACCCGCUAGCGUUGAAAAGCUAUGGGAUGACUUGUGGAUAGGGGUGAAAGGCCAAUCAAACUUCGUGAUAGCUGGUUCUCUCCGAAAUAUAUUUAGGUAUAGCGUUGUGUCGUAACUAAAGGGGGUAGAGCACUGAAUGGGCUAGGGCAUACACCAAUGUACCAAACCCUAUCAAACUCCGAAUACCUUUAGUGUAAUCACAGCAGUCAGGCGGCGAGUGAUAAAAUCCGUCGUCAAGAGGGAAACAACCCAGACUAACAGCUAAGGUCCCCAAAUCUUACUUAAGUGGAAAACGAUGUGAAGUUACUUAAACAACCAGGAGGUUGGCUUAGAAGCAGCCAUCCUUUAAAGAAAGCGUAAUAGCUCACUGGUCUAGUGAUUUUGCGCGGAAAAUAUAACGGGGCUA
This 1162-nucleotide ribosomal RNA is filed under the name Campylobacter upsaliensis. RNAcentral describes it as "partial 23S ribosomal RNA". It matches the Rfam family "Bacterial large subunit ribosomal RNA", at positions 1 to 1183 of the family's 2925-position model. Lineage: Bacteria; Pseudomonadati; Campylobacterota; Epsilonproteobacteria; Campylobacterales; Campylobacteraceae. The record is from RNAcentral.